This 542-nucleotide ribosomal RNA is filed under the name uncultured bacterium. RNAcentral's name for it is "bacterial SSU rRNA". It matches the Rfam family "Bacterial small subunit ribosomal RNA", at positions 1 to 518 of the family's 1533-position model. The record is from RNAcentral.
CGUGGCGAAAGCCAGCGUCGUGAUGGCGAAGCUAUCACCACACUAAUAAAAGUGAUUAACAAACCUCGGGUGUUGGGUGUUGGAAAAUACGCUAGUGGCGAACGGGUGAGUAACGCGUAGGCAACCUGCCCUUGGGAUGGGACAACAGGCCGAAAGGCCUGCUAAUACCGAAUGAAGUGAGUUUAUCGCAUGAUGAGCUUAUGAAAGAUGGCCUCUACUUGUAAGCUAUCACCCAAGGAUGGGCCUGCGUCUGAUUAGCUAGUUGGUGGGGCAAAGGCCUACCAAGGCGACGAUCAGUAGCCGGUCUGAGAGGAUGAACGGCCACAUUGGGACUGAGACACGGCCCAGACUCCUACGGGAGGCAGCAGUGGGGAAUCUUCCGCAAUGGGCGAAAGCCUGACGGAGCAAACCGCCGCGUGAGUGAAGAAGGGUUUAGGCUCGUAAAGCUCUGUUGUUGGGGACGAAGUCCCGGAAGGUGAAUAAUCUUUCGGGGUGACGGUACCCGACGAGGAAGCCACGGCUAACUACGUGCCAGCCGCCGC